UGGGGUGUAGCCAAGCGGUAAGGCAAAGGACUUUGACUCCUUCAUGCAUUGGUUCAAAUCCAAUCUCCCCAG
Molecule: transfer RNA, 72 nt
Organism: Mycoplasma sp. (ex Biomphalaria glabrata)
Lineage: Bacteria; Bacillati; Mycoplasmatota; Mollicutes; Mycoplasmatales; Mycoplasmataceae
Rfam family: tRNA
About the family: Transfer RNA (tRNA) molecules are approximately 80 nucleotides in length. Their secondary structure includes four short double-helical elements and three loops (D, anti-codon, and T loops). Further hydrogen bonds mediate the characteristic L-shaped molecular structure. tRNAs have two regions of fundamental functional importance: the anti-codon, which is responsible for specific mRNA codon recognition, and the 3' end, to which the tRNAs corresponding amino acid is attached (by aminoacyl-tRNA synthetases). tRNAs cope with the degeneracy of the genetic code in two manners: having more than one tRNA (with a specific anti-codon) for a particular amino acid; and 'wobble' base-pairing, i.e. permitting non-standard base-pairing at the 3rd anti-codon position.
Source: Rfam